This is a non-coding RNA of Clonorchis sinensis, 46 nucleotides long. NCBI's taxonomy places the organism in Eukaryota, Metazoa, Platyhelminthes, Trematoda, Opisthorchiida, Opisthorchiidae. The record is from Rfam.
CGAACGGCCUUGUUCAAGGCCACUCAGUGUACCCAUGACAAGCAAG